AGUGAACGCUGGCGGUAGGCCUAACACAUGCAAGUCGAACGGCAGCACAGUAAGAGCUUGCUCUUACGGGUGGCGAGUGGCGGACGGGUGAGGAAUACAUCGGAAUCUACUUUUUCGUGGGGGAUAACGUAGGGAAACUUACGCUAAUACCUCAUACGACCUACGGGUGAAAGCAGGGGAUCUUCGGACCUUGCGCGAUUGAAUGAGCCGAUGUCGGAUUAGCUAGUUGGCGGGGUAAAGGCCCACCAAGGCGACGAUCCGUAGCUGGUCUGAGAUGAGGAGAGGCCCCAGUGGAGCUGAGAGACGGUCGAGACCACUAAGAAGAGCAGCAGUCGGGAAUCUUCCGCAAGGGGCGAGAGUUUGACGGAGCAAUACCGCGUAAGUAAAAAAAGCCCUCGGAUCGUAAAAUGCUGUUAUAAGAAAAGAACAAAUGUGUAAGUAAAUAUGCACGACAUGACGGUAGCUAAUCAGAAAACCACGGCUAGCUACAAA
Molecule: ribosomal RNA, 492 nt
Filed under: uncultured bacterium
Lineage: Bacteria
Description: partial 16S ribosomal RNA
Rfam family: Bacterial small subunit ribosomal RNA
Source: RNAcentral